GACGAACGCUGGCGGCGUGCUUAACACAUGCAAGUCGAACGGAAAGGCCCUGCUUUUGUGGGGUGCUCGAGUGGCGAACGGGUGAGUAACACGUGAGUAACCUGCCCUUGACUUUGGGAUAACUUCAGGAAGCUGGGGCUAAUACCGGAUAGGAGCUCCUGCUGCAUGGUGGGGGUUGGAAAGUUUCGGCGGUUGGGGAUGGACUCGCGGCUUAUCAGCUUGUUGGUGGGGUAGUGGCUUACCAAGGCUUUGACGGGUAGCCGGCCUGAGAGGGUGACCGGCCACAUUGGGACUGAGAUACGGCCCAGACUCCUACGGGAGGCAGCAGUGGGGAAUAUUGCACAAUGGGCGGAAGCCUGAUGCAGCAACGCCGCGUGCGGGAUGACGGCCUUCGGGUUGUAAACCGCUUUCGCCUGUGACGAAGCGUGAGUGACGGUAAUGGGUAAAGAAGCACCGGCUAACUGCGU
RNAcentral lists this ribosomal RNA (467 nucleotides) under uncultured bacterium. RNAcentral describes it as "partial 16S ribosomal RNA". It matches the Rfam family "Bacterial small subunit ribosomal RNA", at positions 28 to 506 of the family's 1533-position model. The record is from RNAcentral.